AACGAACGCUGGCGGCAUGCCUAAUACAUGCAAGUCGAACGAACACUUCGGUGUUAGUGGCGCACGGGUGCGUAACGCGUGGGAAUCUGCCCUUGGGUUCGGAAUAACUUCGGGAAACUGAAGCUAAUACCGGAUGAUGACGUAAGUCCAAAGAUUUAUCGCCCAAGGAUGAGCCCGCGUAGGAUUAGCUUGUUGGUGAGGUAAAGGCUCACCAAGGCUACGAUCCUUAGCUGGUCUGAGAGGAUGAUCAGCCACACUGGGACUGAGACACGGCCCAGACUCCUACGGGAGGCAGCAGUAGGGAAUAUUGGACAAUGGGGGAAACCCUGAUCCAGCAAUGCCGCGUGAGCGAUGAAGGCCUUAGGGUUGUAAAGCUCUUUUACCCGGGAUGAUAAUGACAGUACCGGGAGAAUAAGCCCCGGCUAACUCCGUGCCAGCAGCCGCGGUAAUACGGAGGGGGCUAGCGUUGUUCGGAAUUACUGGGCGUAAAGCGCACGUAGGCGGCGAUCUAAGUCAGAGGUGAAAGCCCGGGGCUCAACCCCGGAAUAGCCUUUGAGACUGGAUUGCUAGAAUCUUGGAGAGGCGGGUGGAAUUCCGAGUGUAGAGGUGAAAUUCGUAGAUAUUCGGAAGAACACCAGUGGCGAAGGCGGCCCGCUGGACAAGUAUUGACGCUGAGGUGCGAAAGCGUGGGGGGCAAACAGGAUUAGAUACCCUGGUAGUCCACGCCGUAAACGAUGAUAACUAGCUGUCCGGGCUCAUGGAGUUCGGGUGGCGCAGCUAACGCAUUAAGUUAUCCGCCUGGGGAGUACGGUCGCAAGAUUA
This 822-nucleotide ribosomal RNA is filed under the name uncultured bacterium. RNAcentral describes it as "bacterial SSU rRNA". It matches the Rfam family "Bacterial small subunit ribosomal RNA", at positions 28 to 896 of the family's 1533-position model. The record is from RNAcentral.